Molecule: ribosomal RNA, 604 nt
Filed under: uncultured beta proteobacterium WSS1
Lineage: Bacteria; Pseudomonadati; Pseudomonadota; Betaproteobacteria
Description: bacterial SSU rRNA
Rfam family: Bacterial small subunit ribosomal RNA
Source: RNAcentral
UUGGUGAGGUAAAGGCUUACCAAGGCUUCGAUCAGUAGCUGGUCUGAGAGGACGACCAGCCACACUGGGACUGAGACACGGCCCAGACUCCUACGGGAGGCAGCAGUGGGGAAUUUUGGACAAUGGGGGCAACCCUGAUCCAGCCAUGCCGCGUGAGUGAAGAAGGCCUUCGGGUUGUAAAGCUCUUUCAGCCGGAACGAAACGGUCACGGUUAAUAACUGUGAUCACUGACGGUACCGGAAGAAGAAGCACCGGCUAACUACGUGCCAGCAGCCGCGGUAAUACGUAGGGUGCGAGCGUUAAUCGGAAUUACUGGGCGUAAAGCGUGCGCAGGCGGUUUUGUAAGUCAGAUGUGAAAUCCCCGGGCUUAACCUGGGAACUGCGUUUGAAACUCCAAGGCUAGAGUGUGGCAGAGGGGGGUGGAAUUCCCCGUGUGAGCAGUGAAAUGCGUAAGAGAUGUGGAGGAACACCGAUGGCGAAGGCAGCCCCCUGGGUUAACACUUGACGCUCAGGCACGAAAGCGUUGGGGAGCAAACAGGAUUAGAUACCCUGGUAGUCCACGCCCUAAACGAUGUCAACUAGUUGUCGGGCCUUAACGGGCUUG